Molecule: ribosomal RNA, 233 nt
Filed under: uncultured bacterium
Lineage: Bacteria
Description: partial 16S ribosomal RNA
Rfam family: Bacterial small subunit ribosomal RNA
Source: RNAcentral
CGGGUGAGUAACGCGUGAGGAACCUGCCUCAAAGAGGGGGACAACAGUUGGAAACGACUGCUAAUACCGCAUAAGCCCACGGCUCGGCAUCGAGCGGAGGGAAAAGGAGCAAUCCGCUUUGAGAUGGCCUCGCGUCCGAUUAGCUAGUUGGUGAGGUAAUGGCCCACCAAGGCGACGAUCGGUAGCCGGACUGAGAGGUUGAACGGCCACAUUGGGACUGAGACACGGCCCAG